ACGGCAUGAUGGGGACGUUUUCAAAUGAGGUCCAUUAAUCUUUCCCAUGCCUCAUGGAACUGCUCACUAUCAUUCUGUGAAAAGCUAUUGAGGGCUCGCCUU
This 102-nucleotide small nucleolar RNA is filed under the name Cephalotus follicularis. RNAcentral's name for it is "Plant small nucleolar RNA R71". Lineage: Eukaryota; Viridiplantae; Streptophyta; Magnoliopsida; Oxalidales; Cephalotaceae. The record is from Rfam by way of RNAcentral.